UGAGGAAUAUUGGUCAAUGGACGAGAGUCUGAACCAGCCAAGUAGCGUGCAGGAAGACGGCCCUAUGGGUUGUAAACUGCUUUUAUAAGGGAAUAAAGUGAGAGUCGUGACUCUUUUUGCAUGUACCUUAUGAAUAAGGACCGGCUAAUUCCGUGCCAGCAGCCGCGGUAAUACGGAAGGUCCGGGCGUUAUCCGGAUUUAUUGGGUUUAAAGGGAGCGUAGGCCGGAGAUUAAGCGUGUUGUGAAAUGUAGAUGCUCAACAUCUGAACUGCAGCGCGAACUGGUUUCCUUGAGUACGCACAAAGUGGGCGGAAUUCGUGGUGUAGCGGUGAAAUGCUUAGAUAUCACGAAGAACUCCGAUUGCGAAGGCAGCUCACUGGAGCGCAACUGACGCUGAAGCUCGAAAGUGCGGGUAUCGAACAG
RNAcentral lists this ribosomal RNA (423 nucleotides) under uncultured bacterium. Its description in RNAcentral is "bacterial SSU rRNA". It matches the Rfam family "Bacterial small subunit ribosomal RNA", at positions 355 to 775 of the family's 1533-position model. The record is from RNAcentral.